CGGCGAACGGGUGAGUAAUGCUUCGGAAUCUACCCCAAUGGUGGGGAAUAACCAGCCGAAAGGUUGGCUAAUACCGCAUAAGUCCUACGGGAGAAAGCAGGGGAUCGUAAGACCUUGCGCCGAUGGAUGAGCCGAAGCCGGAUUAGCUAGUUGGUAGGGUAACGGCCUACCAAGGCGACGAUCCGUAGCUGGUCUGAGAGGACGACCAGCCACACUGGGACUGAGACACGGCCCAG
This 236-nucleotide ribosomal RNA is filed under the name uncultured bacterium. Its description in RNAcentral is "partial 16S ribosomal RNA". It matches the Rfam family "Bacterial small subunit ribosomal RNA", at positions 96 to 334 of the family's 1533-position model. The record is from RNAcentral.